AAGCUAGAAAUCAAAGGUGUGAUGUUCAGUGUUGUUAGUGGGUAUGCUCCACAGGUAGGAUGUGAGCUGGAGGAGAAGGAUAAAUUCUGAUUGGACCUUGAUGAAAUGAUGCAGAGCAUCCCUAGAAGUGAGAGAGUUGUCAUUGGUGCACACUUUAAUGGACAUGUUGGUGCAGGAAACAGAGAUGAUGAGGAGGUGAUGGGCAGGUUUGGUAUCCAGGAGAGGAAUGCAGAAGGACAGAUGGUGGUUGAUUUUGCAAAAAGGAUGGAAAUGGCUGUAGUGAAUACUUUCUUUCAGAAGAGGCAGGAACAUAGUGGAGGUAGGAGCACACAGGUAGACACAUCUUGUGUAGACGGUGUAAUUGAAGGAGAUCAGUGACUGCAAAGUAGUGGUAGGUGAAAGUGUAGCCAGACAGCAUAGGAUGGUGGUGUGUAGGAUGACACUUGUGAUGAGGAAGAUGAAGAGGGCAAAGGCAGAGCAGAGGACCAAAUGGUGGAAGCUGAAAAAGGAAGAGUGUUGCAUGACUUUUAGGAAGGAGUUGAGACAGGCUCUGGGUGGUCAGGAGGUGCUUCCAAACGACUGGUCAACUACAGCUAAUCUGAUCAAGGAGACAGGUAGGAGUGUACUUGGUGUGUCAUCUGGAAGGAAAGUAGAUAAGGAGACUUGGUGGUGGAAUGAGGAGGUGAAGGAGUGUGUACGGAGAAAGAGGUUAGCUAAGAAGAAGUGGGACACAGAGAGGACUGAAGAGAGUAGACAGCAGAAGAGAUGACUGUUGUGGACCAGGAAGUAGCAAAGAUUAGUGAGGAUGAAGUGAGGAGGGCAUUGAAGAGGAUGAGGAGUGGAAAGGCACUUGGCCCUGAUGAUAUACCUGUGGAGGUAUGGAAGUGUCUAGGCAGUACAUUUUUUGACUGGGUUGUUCAACAGGACCUUAGAUAGUGAGAAGAUGCCAGAGGAAUGGAGGAUAAGUGUGAUGGUGCCCAUUUUUAAGAACAAGGGAGAUGUGCAGAGUUGUGGCAACUACAGAGGAAUAAAGCUGAUGAGCCAUACAAUGAAGAUAUGGGUAAGAGUAUACUCUUACACAAAAAAAUGCUGGGUUAUUUUCAUAACCCAUCUGCUGGGUAGCUGUGGAUUUUGAGCUGAUUGGGUUGUUUUAACCCAAGGUUGGGUUAAAUAUUUUGACCCAACAGAUUGGGUUGAUUUUCCCGGUCUUUAGAUUUCGGCGGGCUAUCGAUUUUAACAGACUGAGGACAGCUCACAGAUCAGUUUGAGAGAAGAGAGAAGAGAAAACUAUGUAAAUGGUAAGUAAAACUUAAAUUAUUAUCCCACAACAUCUAGUAUUGGUAGCUUAAUGUGGUAACCAAAUAGCUGUGUCUUAGUUAUAACUUAAAAACUUCACCUCACUCUGCGACUUGAGCCGUUUGUUGCUUGCUAGAUUUUUUUUUCCCCCUUCGCUAGCUAGUUAUUUUCACCUGAUAAAAUACUUUCCCUAUAAUACUUGUUUCCGUCACUUGUCACACACACUUAGAUAGACUAUCAAAGUCUAGCAGUGCAGGGAUAUUUCUUUCCGUUAGUUGUGUGUGUAUUCAGUUGUGGUAACGUUAUUGUCAUAACGGGUUGCCAACCGUCCCUUUAAAAAUGGAGUCGUCCCUAUUUAGCAACAAAAACACCGGUCCCGUAUUGAGCUGAAAUAGGACGCACUUUGUCCCGUAUUACUGUGUGAAUCAAAAAAUAGUCAGUAAAAUGUCAAUGGAAAGUGAAUAACAGGGCGCUUUAUAUAAAAAUUUACGGUAAACUUGUUCCCCGGCCCUGUCCUGCUCGGUGACCAAUGAGGUGACAGCAUAUUCACACACGAGUAUGACGAUACAAAAUACGCUCAUCCCAUUGGUCGACCUACUGUUGUCUUGGAGACGUUAACCGAAGACGGGAAAAAAAGCCGCAUUCGUGGGUGACAGUGACACAGACAAAAAGUAUAUUUACAUUUGGGCUCGUUACUUACUGUAUUUACUGCUAACUAUUUCUUGAUGCACGUUGUAGUAGCCACUUUCUUUUUCUCACUGAAAUUUCUCUUGGUAGUGUUCCUCACCAUACCUUAGACCAGAGCUUGCCUGUUGUUAUUAUAAUAAAGCGGAUUGUAAACAAUAUUCAAGCUCUGCACACACACUAAAUCGACUGGCUUUGUAAAAGUCAUUAAUCUUUCUGUUCUUUCCAAAAGAUGGACGAGUUUGUAAAGGAGAAGCUGAAUGAAUGGUCUCUGACUGAAUGGAUCCCCACUUUUGAAGCACAGCAGAUUGAUAGAGAGUGCUUCUUUCUCUUGGAUGGAAACAGCCUGACUUCCCUGAUUCCUGUCCUUGGGCCACGGCUUAAAUUUCAUCGACAACUAAAGAAGUUGCUUGAGGAUUCAAGCCCCACACCCGCACCUUCUCUAUUGCUGGAUCCCAUACCAGCUCCAGAAGGCACACCGUGGCCAGUUGCCUGCAGAACAGCGUAUUUCAGUGGAGCAAGGAGCAAGAUUUAAUAUCUGUGAGAUCCUGAAAAAAACAAUUGUUGGGGAAAGGUGUGGUUGCCAGUCUGCAGAGAAGCAACCAUAUCUCAGUAUCUGAAAGACGGUUAAUGGUCCGCAUUCUGGUGUCCCACCUCAUAGAGCGCUUCGGUGAGAAUGCUACUUCAGCUAUGAAGGCCAAGCUGGCGUCUUCAAUAGUGGAGCAAUUUCCAUGCCUGAGGGACAGUCACGGCACAGGCUAUGAUGCAUGGUUCACCCCAGGAAGGGCCCACAAACCAGCAACGGGGUACCUGGAGGAGCGCCUCCGUAAUGUCCACAAGAGGAAUCGCAAAGGCAGCCGGGUGAAUUCAGCACCAAUAAUGCAAGCGACCCCCAUCCUUUUGCCAGAACCGAUUAUAACUGGUGAGAAGUGUUUGCAGCUGACAUUGUGGCUAAAAAACAACAUUUGGCCACAAGCUACGGUUAGCCAGUACAUGUUGGAGACUGCAGUCCAUAGGGCAAAUUGGAUUCGACAAAAUGGGACAAAAACAAUCCAAAACAUUAUGGUUUCCUCGUCUCAUGGACACUCCAGGCAUGGUGAGCUUACAUCUACACUAUUUGUGUUGCCCUGUCUAAAAUUCACACAGGCACCUACCCAGAGUACAGAUUUCAUAGCUACCUGCGACGAUGUUACAUAUGCCUUACACAUUGUCUUUUUUUUGGGGGGGGGGGGUGUGUUCCUGUCCUUAGAUCGCUCAGGAUUUUGAAGUUAUACAUCCAGAGUGUACUGACAGAAUGUCUACAAAAUGGAUCCCUGAGUUGGCUGAAAAGAUCAUCCGUAUGGCCAGAAAGAGAACACCGGAGACCUUCUUUCAAAUAUCAGUUCACUCUCAGCAGAUCAACAGGGUGACAUAGCGCUUCAGCUGCUGCCAGUGCUGCUCCCAACUGUGACAUACAAAAUUGGACGGAAGGUGUACCGCCCCAGCAAGCUGGAGGUUCGCAGGGCCUUCAUUGACAUCCAGCCGGUGAGUUAAGACAGUGCUUUUCAAAAAAUGUCAUGUCAAGGACCCCUAUAUGUGUAUUUGGCCACAGACCCCCAUCUUACAAGGUUUUGUGGAGACCCCAAGAGAAGAGUUACAGUAUUUUAAAUCUUUUCAAAAUGAUUCCAAAUUGUUCAUAAUUUUUCAAGAUUUGUCAACAUUUUUUUAAAGUCAGCUCGGCCUUCGCAUCACGACAUGAUCUGAGUGUAUAGAUUUCAAAUAAACUAAGAGUAAAGUAGGAUUAAAGUGGUUAAACUGAUUUUGUUGCAAGUAACUACUUUUGCUGGGGACCCCAAGGUGCCCACCUCUAGGAUCCUUGGGGAUUCCUGGACUGCACUUUUGAGAAACACUGCAAUGAGACAGUCAUCGUUAAUACUGUGUUUAGUGGAAUUGACAGGUCAUUUUGGCAUGUACAGAAAUGUUCUUAUUGGACUCAGACUCCAGAUACAGUCGGGUACCGCACUGUGCAUUACCUGUGGAGUUGAACCUAACCUGUUGUACGAACUAAUUGUUGAAUCUUGUUGUUUUUUUUUUCUUCUCUUUUUUCUUUUCAGCCUGGAACAAACAUGGUGCAGUACCUGGCGACUGUAAGCAGUAGCAUAGAAUACCCCUAACUACUCAUGCUAGGGGAGGAGCAUCAGUGUUCCCAGGCCUUCGUGAUCAUCGGAGGGAUAGCCUUGGAGCACCCAUCUCUGUUGGGUGCAGUGGAUGGGUGCUUUAAAGCAUUUUUUGUUUUUGACAUAAACUACCCAAAACCAUGUGCCCAGGUUUGGGAGUUUAUUCAGACAUGCAUCUUUGAGUUACCAGGUCAUGAGUCCAAUGCUGUGAAGUUGAUCAGGUCUCAACUUGCUGCGAUGGAGUCAUCCAACACUCCCAGUUAGUUAAGCUGCAAGUUCAGCUCUCAUCAUCUUCACCCCGUUAAGUGUUGUGUCAAGUUAAGUGUUGGUGUUUAAUUUAUUCAGGCAAAAACCUAAGAACUUUGUUGUUUUUUUUUACUUUUCUUUUUUAAUAUUUAGGUUAUGUUUGACUUGGCAUUGCAGCAAUGUUAAAAAUGUAUUCUGUUUUAAUGUGAACUUGAAAUCAUUACCACAUCAUUAGCUAAUCUGACAUAAAUCUAAUAAUUGUAUUAUUGGUUCAAACUGUUUUUUUCCCAGAUGGAUUUAGUUUUUACCAGCCAAUGUUUCCCACACACGCACACACACAUACACACAAAGUUUUAAUGUUUUAAUGUUUUUAACUUGAAAUGUCAAAUGUCAAUAAAAUAAUGGACAUUAUGUAUUUGUUUCAUUGAAUAAUUUCAUGUUUAAUAACAAUUUCAUUGUAUAAUACUAAGGUUAAUGUUCAUUAAGUAAUGCUGAUUUUGCUCUUAAACCAACAUUUUGGUAACAUUAACCCAACAACAUGACUGCGUUUUAGCCCAUUUAUUAGUUAAUAUAACCCAACAACAUGGUUCUAUUUUAGCCCAUUUAUUGGGUAACAUUAACCUGACAGCAGAGUCAUUUUUAACCCAUUUUUGGGUAAACAGUCUC
RNA transcript from Larimichthys crocea (large yellow croaker), 5048 nucleotides. RefSeq lists it as hypothetical. The transcript is spliced from 8 exons. Lineage: Eukaryota; Metazoa; Chordata; Actinopteri; Sciaenidae. The record is from RefSeq and is a predicted model, not a curated record.